RNAcentral lists this ribosomal RNA (253 nucleotides) under uncultured bacterium. Its description in RNAcentral is "partial 16S ribosomal RNA". It matches the Rfam family "Bacterial small subunit ribosomal RNA", at positions 524 to 776 of the family's 1533-position model. The record is from RNAcentral.
UACGAAGGGGGCGAGCGUUGUUCGGAAUUACUGGGCGUAAAGGGCGCGCAGGCGGCCCUUGAAGUCAGGCGUGAAAGCCCCGGGCUCAACCCGGGAAGUGCACUCGAUACUGUCAAGCUAGAGUAUCGGAGAGGUUGGUGGAAUUCUCGGUGUAGAGGUGAAAUUCGUAGAUAUCGAGAGGAACACCGGUGGCGAAGGCGGCCAACUGGACGAAUACUGACGCUGAGACUCGAAAGCGUGGGGAGCAAACAGG